CCUACGGGGAGCAGCAGUGGGGAAUAUUGGGCAAUGGGCGAGAGCCUGAACCAGCAAAGUCGCGUGAGGGAGUACUGCCCUAUGGGUUGUAAACCUCUUUUGUCGGGGAGCAAAAGCCGGACGUGUCCGGCGGUGAGAGUACACGAAGAAAAAGCAUCGGCAAACUCCGUCCAAGCAGCCGCGGAAAUACGGAGGAUGCGAGCGGUAUCCGGAGUCAUUGGGGUGAAGGGGAGCGCGGGGGAAUGCUAAAGUAAGGGGAAAAAUCGGGGGGCUAACCACAUCCAGCCGUUGAAACUGGGGAUCUUGAGUGUGCGAGAGGUAUGCGGAAUGCGUGGUGUAGCGGUGAAAUGCAUAGAUAUCACGCAGAACCCCGAUUGCGAAGGCAGCAUACCGGUGCCCAACUGACGCUGAAGCACGAAAGCGUGGGUAUCGAACAGGAUUAGAUACCCGAGUAGUC
This 457-nucleotide ribosomal RNA is filed under the name uncultured bacterium. RNAcentral's name for it is "partial 16S ribosomal RNA". It matches the Rfam family "Bacterial small subunit ribosomal RNA", at positions 338 to 795 of the family's 1533-position model. The record is from RNAcentral.